GCUGGGUGUGGUGGCCGCACACCUGUAAUUCCAGCUACUUUGGGAGGCUGAGGCAGGAGGAUCACUUGAGCCCAGGAGUUCAAGGUUCCAGUGAGCUGUGAUUGCACCAUUGCACUCUAGUCUGGGCAACAGAGUGAGACCCUGUCACUA
RNAcentral lists this small RNA (150 nucleotides) under Macaca fascicularis (crab-eating macaque). RNAcentral's name for it is "Metazoan signal recognition particle RNA (ENSMFAG00000059725.1)". The record is from Rfam by way of RNAcentral. Lineage: Eukaryota; Metazoa; Chordata; Mammalia; Primates; Cercopithecidae.